RNAcentral lists this ribosomal RNA (253 nucleotides) under uncultured bacterium. RNAcentral describes it as "partial 16S ribosomal RNA". It matches the Rfam family "Bacterial small subunit ribosomal RNA", at positions 524 to 776 of the family's 1533-position model. The record is from RNAcentral.
GACGAACCGUGCGAACGUUGUUCGGAAUCACUGGGCUUAAAGGGCGCGUAGGCGGGCUGUCAAGUCUGGGGUGAAAUGCCACGGCUCAACCGUGGAACUGCCUCAGAUACUGACGGCCUCGAGGAAGGUAGGGGCAUGCGGAACUGUAGGUGGAGCGGUGAAAUGCGUUGAUAUCUACAGGAACUCCGGUGGCGAAAGCGGCGUGCUGGACCUUUUCUGACGCUGAGGCGCGAAAGCUAGGGGAGCAAACAGG